Molecule: unclassified non-coding RNA, 247 nt
Filed under: Hevea brasiliensis (rubber tree)
Lineage: Eukaryota; Viridiplantae; Streptophyta; Magnoliopsida; Malpighiales; Euphorbiaceae
Source: RNAcentral
UCCGGCCAUAGACCCACCGUCUUCCCAGUGUUGAAACUGUUUGCUCAACCUUUGUGCGGAAUUCUAGUAAGCUUUCACAUACAUGACAAUCUGCUCUGUGUGCAGAGUUAUUAGACUCAUCUGAUCUCACAAAGGCAAACACCUCCUCCCCACAAUUUGGGCAUGCUCCCUUGAGUGCCACCAAGUCAUUCCUCCAUAGGCCCAGGAGCACCUUAACAGAAGCCGAUGUAAUUGGAUAGCCAAUCAG